Thamnophis sirtalis is the source of this 1433-nucleotide non-coding RNA. The record is from RefSeq and is a predicted model, not a curated record. NCBI's taxonomy places the organism in Eukaryota, Metazoa, Chordata, Lepidosauria, Squamata, Natricidae.
GAGGUUGAAACAGGAUCCCGCGGGAAAUAACAUCCCGCCUUGGCAGGCGGAUCUGCAAUGUUUGCUAAGCCUCAGAGAGGUCUCUUCUCACGGCCCGGCAACUAGUUUUUGAUUUGUUCAGCAGCCCCGGGAGAUGCUCCCUGGGUCGACGUCCAGGCACGCGACUGACCUCAGGUUCGGGAGGAAAAAAAUCAACCAAAAGCCCUUUCCCGGUUAGGAAAGAAUUGGGGGGGCGGGAGAAUAGCCCCGAGUAGGCUCUUUCCAUUGAAGCCAAAGAAAUCAGAAGGAGAAUGGCAGCGAGACUUCCUUCCUUUCCUUCCUCCCUUCCCUUCCUUAUUCAAGGAUUUCUCCCUUGGACCCCAGCCUAGGCAGGCCCCCCGAUCAGAUUUGUUGAAGCAAGGGCUGGAAAGAGCAGCUGGCGGCAGCAAUCUGAUGAAGAAACAAAGGAAUGCCCCGCCAGUUCUGGGAUCCCAGCAGAAUUGAACGCCAAGGCAGCAAAAAAGUAACCCUAAUCUCCAAGUCUUCACGAUCCAUUCAAACUCGCAUUGAGAUUACUUGAAAGUACCGUAAAUACAGUUGAAAAAAUGAAUGAGACACAUGACCUCUGGGAAAAGAACUAAAGUCACAUCUAUUCAGCCAAGGUGGUUUUUGCCAAUAUUUGAACUUGGGUGUGGAUUGAUCCCUAAAUCCAUUUAGGAUAAGCAAAUUGGAACUCUCCAGAUAUUUUGGACUAUGACCCUCAUCAUUCCUUGCUAUUUUACUAGGGAAUUCCAAAAAAGCUGCAGUUACCAUGUUUCUUAUCUUGAACUGAAUCAGAGUUCACCCAGCCAAUGUACAUGAAACUAUCUAGCUUGUUAUAUCAAUCAAUAGCUUGGACCUCAAAGCAAUUUCCUCCAUGUGAACGCCUCAUGUCUUGGAGUUAUCUUUUGUGUGUGGGAAGCUUUCAGAUUAAAUUAAUGGCAAGCUAUGACUAAUUAAUAACAAUCCUUUGGGUAGAUUUCCCCUCCCCCCCAAAAAACCCACCUAAUCCUAUUUUAGUUCACUGCCUAUAUUGCUGGGGAUGAUGAUGGAAGUUGCUGACUGUUUCUUCUGGAAGACGCGGGAAUUGGGAAGGAUGAUUGUUUUAGUCCAAUAUCAAGGAAAGGUUUCCCAUCACUGACUGAGCCAUUAUAGAAUCAGUACCUCAAUUCCGCUUUGCAGACCUAAUCGAGAAAUCUGUGCUGCGUCAAUUUAACAAAUCCUUGAGAGCGAAGGCAGGAAUGUCAAAUGAAUAUCUAGAAAGUCUGGCUUCGAAGAUCAAAUCACCAUGGAUCCUAAAUCUGCUACGCCUUUAUUCUACGACACCCCUGACUUAACUGACCUAGGAAAAGAUGCCACCACAGCAAAUUUCUCUUUGCAUCUCUUCAUCCUUCAGCCUGGCAAAUGUCUAAGAA